This 300-nucleotide ribosomal RNA is filed under the name uncultured Bacillus sp. RNAcentral's name for it is "bacterial SSU rRNA". It matches the Rfam family "Bacterial small subunit ribosomal RNA", at positions 496 to 795 of the family's 1533-position model. Lineage: Bacteria; Bacillati; Bacillota; Bacilli; Caryophanales; Bacillaceae. The record is from RNAcentral.
GAGUAACGCGUGCGUGGAGCCGGGGUAGGACGUGGGGGGCAAGCGGUGUACGGAUAUAGUGGGCGUAAAGAGCGGGGAGGCGGCUUGGAAGGUCAGCUGGGAAAACUCGAGGCUCAACCUCGGGACGUCGGUUGAAACCACCUGGCUAGAGUCCGGAAGAGGAGAGUGGAAUUCCCGGUGUAGCGGUGAAAUGCGCAGAUAUCGGGAAGAACACCCGUGGCGAAGGCGGCUCUCUGGGACGGUACUGACGCUGAGACGCGAAAGCGUGGGGAGCGAACAGGAUUAGAUACCCGGGUAGUC